CCUACGGGAGGCAGCAGUGAGGAAUAUUGGUCAAUGGGCGAGAGCCUGAACCAGCCAAGCCGCGUGAAGGAUGAAGGAUCUAUGGAUUGUAAACUUCUUUUAUAUGGGAAUAAAGUGCGGUACGUGUUCCCUUUUGUAUGUACCAUAUGAUUAAGCAUCGAGUAACACCGUGCCAGCAGCCGCGGUAAUACGGAGGAUGCGAGCGUUAUCCGGAUUUCUUGGGUUUAAAGGGUGCGUAGGUGGUUAAUUAAGUCAGCGGUGAAAGUCUGUGGCUCAACCAUAAAAUUGCCGUUGAAACUGGUUGACUUGAGUAUAUUAGAGGUAGGCGGAAUGCGUGGUGUAGCGGUGAAAUGCAUAGAUAUCACGCAGAACUCCGAUUGCGAAGGCAGCUUACUAAACUAUAACUGACACUGAGGCACGAAAGCGUGGGGAUCAAACAGGAUUAGAUACCCUUGUAGUC
RNAcentral lists this ribosomal RNA (460 nucleotides) under uncultured bacterium. RNAcentral's name for it is "partial 16S ribosomal RNA". It matches the Rfam family "Bacterial small subunit ribosomal RNA", at positions 338 to 795 of the family's 1533-position model. The record is from RNAcentral.